This is a long non-coding RNA of Zeugodacus cucurbitae (melon fly), 3699 nucleotides long. RefSeq lists it as uncharacterized. The record is from RefSeq and is a predicted model, not a curated record. The transcript has 2 exons. NCBI's taxonomy places the organism in Eukaryota, Metazoa, Arthropoda, Insecta, Diptera, Tephritidae.
CAAGAGAGGAAGGGCUCAGAUCGGGUGUCAUCGAACAUUUUAUACUCUCGCAAUUUAUUUAUUUAAAUUUAUUAAUAUAACAAACAAUUUGACUCACAUAUUCGGCGUAUAUAUGGUAUACAUUGAAAGUUUGAAAACCCUAAUAUUAAGUAUAUGGGAGAUAGAUGAAGUUAUGACCCGAUUUCACUCAUUGUUGGCACUUAGUUGGACCGAUUUGGAUGAUUUUGAGAAGUGCGGUGCCACACUAUAAAUGCAGUAUUUGAGCAAAGUUCUGUUCUGAUAUCUUCACUCUUACUAACUUUAUAUAUUGUAAAGUGGGCGGAAGCACGCCCAUUUAAAAUUUUGUAUACCAUUUUGAGUACAGCUUUUCUGUGCCACCUUUAUAAUAAAAUUUUAUGUUUCUGGUGGUUUUCCUUACUGAAUUAAUGCACUUUUAGUAGUUUUAGUAGGAGGUGGGUGCGGUUAUAAUCCGAUUUCCUCCAUUUUUGGACUGUAUAAGGUAGUACUUAAAAAAACGACUCUAGAAAGUUUGGUUCAUAUAGCUUAAGUAGUUUACGAGAUAUGUACGCCCACUUCCUCAAAAAAUUACAUCCACGUAUGCCUCUUCAUAGUGCUAUCCUUCAUACUAAAUUUUACUUCAAUAACUUAAGGUACGGCUUAGUUAUAGCUUUUUAUGUGUUUUCGGUUAUUACCAUUUUGUGGGCGUGGCAGUGGUCCGAUUACGCCCAUCUUUGAACUUAACCUUCUUAUGGUGCUAAGAAAUACGUCUUCCAAGUUUCCUCAAGAUAUCUCAAUUUUUACUCAAGUUACAGCUUGCACGGACAGAUGGAUAGACUUUGUUGCGAGAGUAUAAAAAUGGCAGAAAGAAACUGCACUCAAAUUAAAAGAAAAUGGAAAAUGGGAGUGGCGUUGCCCACUUAUUUGUUAAAAACCAUAUCUCAGGAACUACUCGACCGAUUUCAAUGAAAUUCGGUAUAUAAUACUUUCUUGAUGGAAAAUGGGCGAAACGUCUACUUCCUAUAUAACUUAAAUUUUUCCAUCUGAUUUUCUCUUUAUAAUGUAACUUUAUUUAUUUACUGUAACUUUUCAAAACCCCGGAUAUCGAACAUGAAGAACUCAGUGCCUAAUGUUAAUUGUUUACCGAAUAUAUCGCUAAUUCUGUCAGAUAUUUUUUUAUUUUUUCUUGUCUCUGUAUCAAAAAUAGUUAAUAUAUAAUCCAACAUCCCCUAGUUCCAUAUACCUUUUAUUCAGCCCUCAAAAACUAUAUAUGAUGACUUACGUUAUUCUAUUGGACUUUAUCCCGAAUAUAUGGGUCCAAUUGUGUGUUAUCUUAAUAAAAAGAUAGCAAUAAAUUGCGGGAGUAUAAAAAGUUCCUUUUCCUAUAGGGCUGUGCCUCAAACUCAAAUAUUCCCACAAGUUUAGCAAUUCCCUUAAAAACUUAUGCAAAUAGCUGAAAUUCGUAUUUUACCAUCAAUAAAAGUAAAUUCACAUUUGUUUGUAUACAAUUUUUUCAUUUUCAGUUAGUAGACCGUCGCGCAAAUAUUUAAUUCCAUGCCGGUUCGGGCUUUCGCUCCUUGUUAUUGUCUUAUGCGUACAGAAUCAAUCAUUUAAUUUAUUUAAUCUUCCAACAGUCAAUCCCCUCGUCAAGAUUUCGUCACUAAAAUUUAGCAUACAACUAAAAUUCGAAAAUAAGAGUAGAAACGGUUUUGGGCAGAAAAGUGAAUCUAUAUACGGAAAUGUUGUAUUCUUCCUUAGGCUUAACUGUCAAGCAAUUUAAUCGCCUUCGGAAAUAAAUAUUUCACAAGGAUUAGCUUUAAUAGCGCCGCAUGUAAAUUUUCUUCGUUGACUUCCGUCCUCUGAUGAAUAUCUCAAUCUUAGGCAGAUGUUUCAAUUUGACUGAUGGAGCGUGGGUAAAACUGCAUGUGCCCAGACAUUACUUAUGAGUAUAUACACAUGUACAUCUAAAUACAAGAAAUUAAUAAAAUGGUGAAGUUUGCAUGUUAUAUUAUGCUCUCAAACACUUUUAUAGCUGAUUUAAUAAUAUCAAAUUUUAAUUUUUUUUGAAAUUUAGUAAGAAAUAUAAGAAUAUUAUUAGUUUUAAUUAGCAGAAAUUGGGUUUAUAAACUUCACUGUGUACAUUUCCAGUAAUGAAAUCUAAUAAAUCUUAAAAAUAAUUCUACAAUUGGUCUCUUGGAAAAUGGCGAAGAAAUUACUUCUUAUGUAUUUGUCAUUUUUAACUUAAAAAAAAAAUAUAUAUUUGUGAUGAAACUAUUCUCGCGAUAAGCGCAGUGUGAUUUUGUUCACAGCUGGAACUCUUCGAAACUGAUAUAAAGUUAAAUAUAUAUGUGACCUGGUCUACGAAAAGGGAGAUAAUGUGCGAAAACUAGUUUUCUGGGAAACAGCUGUUAAAAAUAAACAACUCUCAUCUUCCAUCCGAAUCAACCAAAAAGUGAAAAUUGAUUUUUUGACACCUAAGCCUCCUUUCCGUAGACCAGGUCACAUAUGUACAUUUGUUUUUGAGUGUCCGAUCGUCUUUCCAUGCAAACUUUGAAUUCAGUAAUAAUCUAGAUAUUAUGAUUAAACUUGGUAUAAAAGGGACUAUUGACACCCUUACAAAAUGGGUUUUAAAGUUUGUGAAUUUGAAAAGUGAUCGGACCAAACUUAGUGAAAGCAUUUUCACUCAGCAAUCGGUGUAUUACAACUACACAUAUAUGUAUCUCACUGCGCGACAAAUAAAGCACGUAACGAAUAUAUCGAAAUAGAAUUUGGCACAAACGUUGGUUUGUAGGUGUGACAUCUAUCAUUGAUGGUCAAAUUCGGCUCAAGCCACUUUUCUUGAUAAUUUUGUAACCUUAUUCCCUUAUCACUAGGGAUGUCAAGAUUAAUCAAAUGAAUAGUAUUAAUCGAGUAUUUUUUUUAAAGCGAUUUAAUGGAAUCGAAUUUUCUUCGAUCGAUUAGUUACUAAAUUAUUAAAUAAAAGCUGUCAGUUGGCUAACUGCUAUAGAGAAGCCAAUCGAACAAACUCUCUAAAUUUGCAUACGAACUGGCAGCGCUGAAACCGAAUUGUUUAUACUUGGUAGCACUGAACUCUUUGACAGUUCCCUAACAAAACAAUUUAAUUUUCAAAGAUAAAUAAAAAAGAGCGGAUAAUUUGUUGUUAAAAACGAAAAUGGAAAAAUAUUUUAAUUUGAUUUCUCAGUAUUUGCAAAAUUUGCACUAGCGCAGACAGAUUCAGAAAGGCUGUUUCCAAUUGAGGCUUUCAUUUUGGGCGAUUCAGCCUACCCUGCUACCCUGGUUAGUGGCACCUUUUAAUGACUAUGGAAACUUGACCGCAUCGCAUCGAAAUUUCAACAAAUUACACUCUUCUACACAUAGAACCAAGAUGAAGAUUUAGAAAACAGUUUACAAGAUGAGUCCCAUGAAGUCCAUCAACAAACAAAUAGUAAUAGACGAGAUGAAUUAUUUCAAUAUUCACCAUAACUUAAUAGUGGUACUCAUUUAAUGUCGCAAUUAUAUAAACAUGGCAAAUUGGCAAUAACAGUUAAAUGAGCGCUCUGUGGCAUCAAAUAUUUGUGCUGUUGGUUUCUGAAACAAAAUCGUGAAAUGUAAACUGAGUUAAUAAGAUAUACAUAUUUUAAUAUUAUCUCAAAUUAUCUUUUAAUCUUAUAUUAUAAAUCAAAUAAACGCUUUGAAAAAUCA